This 23-nucleotide non-coding RNA is filed under the name Cricetulus griseus (Chinese hamster). The record is from RNAcentral. Lineage: Eukaryota; Metazoa; Chordata; Mammalia; Rodentia; Cricetidae.
CCGUGGAGAGGAACAAUUCUGAG